AGAACCAAGCAGGUCCUUCAUGGACAAGGCAAAGCUGGAAAUACUUGACCUGUCUGGCAACAGUGAAAUGAAAAUUCUACCAAACAGCCUAUCUAAAGCAAGUAGCCUUCAAGUGCUUAUUCUGGAUGGUUGCAAUGAACUUAAAAAUGUUGCUAUCCCUGAUGGGCUACCUCGCUUGCUGAAGUGCUUCAGCCUUGAUGGAUAUGGGCCAGCUUUCAUUCGUGCGCCUACUGUCGAGCUACCUCUAAAACAAGAACGUCCUUCGAUCCCAGCAACUAAGGAAGGUGCCAGUAUCUCUAAGAUUUCCCUCGAAAGUUGCUCACAAUUGGAGAAUAUGUUCAUGCGUGGGUUGCCCAACCUCGUUGAGCUUGACCUCUCUGGAACCGCAAUCAAGACACUUGAUUUCAAUACUAUGGUAUUAGAAGUCCCAAUGCUGAAGCAACUAUUUCUGCUAGGAUGUGAGCACCUUCGGGCAAUAAUUUGGAGCUCUAAAGAUAGCUUCCAUUUGAAUUUGUUGUGCAUAGACACACGAGCUGGAACUGGCCAUCCACGGCCAUGCACUGACCCCAAAAAAUCCUUUCGUUUGGAGGUGCAUGCCACUGUUGUGGAUGCCAGGCUUCUUUGGUCGUUGUGGCAUCCAUUAUAUAGUCAUUAUGCAAUUAUUAAGGAUGUUUAUUUUAAUAUCCAUGCCACCUCAGCUGUGUAUAAUGGAACGAUUGAAUCCGAAGUGGCAUACAAGGAGAAGAAGAUUGACAUGUAUGGAGAUAAAGUCAGCCUAUCGCAGCUUGUUCAAGCAGACCGGUAUAGUGAUGUCCAAAGCAUGGCCGGUGAUGCUCCGAUGCUGGCCUUCCCUAAGCCUCUGACUAACAACUUGGAUCGGCAUAUUGAGAUUGCUGAAGGGAGCCACUCCUUUGAGAGUGGACUAUAUGAUAUGAUGAAAUUUUUUGCCGAAUCCCUGCAUGUCCACGAUGUCUCAACUAGUGCUGGUUUGCCUGGGGUACACUGGGAGUUCCUCAGGCAGUGCCGCAUGGAGAGAUGCCCCAAGUUGGGUGAAGUCUUCUAGAGGGGAUCAGAUCUAUUUAAGGAUCUGGAGACCUUCUGGGUGUCAGAUCUCCUAACAACCCGCUGGAUAUGCAGUAAAGGUUACCGCAGAUUCAAUGAUGGUUCGUUCAGAAAACUGCAACACUUACAGUUGCGCUCUUGCCCCAGGCUCCAAUUCGUGCUCCCUGUGUGGGUCGACUCCUUCCCAAGUUUGGAGACCCUCCACAUCAUCCACUGCGGAGACCUCAGGCACAUAUUCGUGCUAGACGAGAAAUGGUACCCAAGGCUGGCCACCAUCCAAGUUGUAGCAUUCCCAAGGCUGACCACCAUCCACCUGCAUGACCUGCCAGUGCUGCAGCAGAUAUCUGAGUUCAAGAUGGUGGCACCGGAGCUCAAGACCAUCAAGAUCAGAGGAUGCUGGGGCAUGCGCCGGCUGCGGGUGGUGUGUGCCCGUAGCAGAGGCAUGAAGAAGCCAUCCGUUGAGAUCGAGAAAGACGUCUGGGAUGCGCUGGAGUGGGACGGGGAGGUGGCCCCUGGCCACUUCGAGACGCCGCUGCACUCACGCUACUACAAGAAGAAACUACCCAGGGUCUCCGUCCUCAGGUGAUCCUUGCGCUGUGCUGCACUGAUGUGGUUCUUCCAUCCUUAAUGGGAGACCAGAUGGAUGCUCGCUCCUGCAGGUCCUGCUGUCUGCUGCAUGUGGGGUUGGUUUAUUGUGUGCUUCCGGCCCGGGUUGCUUGAAAGAGAUUUGCAGGUGGUGUCAGUCGUCGAUUGAUUGACUCCUACUGCUACUGUGUGUUUUUGUGUCACGUGUGAGCUUGUGGUGGCUCCCAUCUUUGUGGCUUUCAAAUAAGAUGCAGCAUGGUUCUUGGCUGCGGCACCGUCGUGUGUGCGGGAGUAUGGCUUGCGAUUGAGGAUGCCUGCUUGCUGCCUCUUGGCUGCAUGAGUAUGAACCUGGAGUGAUUGACUAAGCAGCAGCCCUGUGUGCCUGCGUGCAUCUACGGGGCUGCCUGGUGUGGUUUGCGAGUGUGUUAAACUGUUAAUCUGAACACACAGGCAGCUGGUUUAGUGCAUUGGCUUGCAUUGGACCACCUAUUA
Molecule: non-coding RNA, 2139 nt
Organism: Triticum dicoccoides
Lineage: Eukaryota; Viridiplantae; Streptophyta; Magnoliopsida; Poales; Poaceae
Source: RefSeq, a predicted model, not a curated record